UAUGGAUAAGUAUGUCCGGUUAUAUUUAUAGUAAAUUUAUUAUAUUUGCCUUCCAAGCAAAA
This 62-nucleotide transfer RNA is filed under the name Mytilisepta virgata. Its description in RNAcentral is "tRNA-Gly". The record is from RNAcentral. Lineage: Eukaryota; Metazoa; Mollusca; Bivalvia; Mytilida; Mytilidae.